GAUGAACGCUGGCGGCGUGCCUAAUACAUGCAAGUCGAGCGAACGGACGAGAAGCUUGCUUUUCUGAUGUUAGCGGCGGACGGGUGAGUAACACGUGGAUAACCUACCUAUAAGACUGGGAUAACUUCGGGAAACCGGAGCUAAUACCGGAUAAUAUUUUGAAACGCAUGGUUCAAAAGUGAAAGACGGUCUUGCUGUCACUUAUAGAUGGAUCCGCGCUGCAUUAGCUAGUUGGUAAGGUAACGGCUUACCAAGGCAACGAUGCAUAGCCGACCUGAGAGGGUGAUCGGCCACACUGGAACUGAGACACGGUCCAGACUCCUACGGGAGGCAGCAGUAGGGAAUCUUCCGCAAUGGGCGAAAGCCUGACGGAGCAACGCCGCGUGAGUGAUGAAGGUCUUCGGAUCGUAAAACUCUGUUAUUAGGGAAGAACAUAUGUGUAAGUAACUGUGCACAUCUUGACGGUACCUAAUCAGAAAGCCACGGCUAACUACGUG
RNAcentral lists this ribosomal RNA (497 nucleotides) under uncultured bacterium. RNAcentral describes it as "partial 16S ribosomal RNA". It matches the Rfam family "Bacterial small subunit ribosomal RNA", at positions 28 to 507 of the family's 1533-position model. The record is from RNAcentral.